UACAGAGGGUGCAAGCGUUAAUCGGAAUUACUGGGCGUAAAGCGCACGUAGGCGGUUUUUUAAGUCAGAUGUGAAAGCCCCGGGCUCAACCUGGGAAUUGCAUUUGAAACUGGGAAACUAGAGUGUGUGAGAGGGGGGUAGAAUUCCAAGUGUAGCGGUGAAAUGCGUAGAGAUUUGGAGGAAUACCAGUGGCGAAGGCGGCCCCCUGGCACAAUACUGACGCUGAGGUGCGAAAGCGUGGGGAGCAAACAGG
This 253-nucleotide ribosomal RNA is filed under the name uncultured bacterium. RNAcentral's name for it is "partial 16S ribosomal RNA". It matches the Rfam family "Bacterial small subunit ribosomal RNA", at positions 524 to 776 of the family's 1533-position model. The record is from RNAcentral.